RNAcentral lists this ribosomal RNA (497 nucleotides) under uncultured bacterium. RNAcentral describes it as "partial 16S ribosomal RNA". It matches the Rfam family "Bacterial small subunit ribosomal RNA", at positions 28 to 507 of the family's 1533-position model. The record is from RNAcentral.
GAUGAACGCUGGCGGCGUGCCUAAUACAUGCAAGUCGAGCGAACAGACGAGGAGCUUGCUCCUCUGACGUUAGCGGCGGACGGGUGAGUAACACGUGGAUAACCUACCUAUAAGACUGGGAUAACUUCGGGAAACCGGAGCUAAUACCGGAUAAUAUAUUGAACCGCAUGGUUCAAUAGUGAAAGACGGUUUUGCUGUCACUUAUAGAUGGAUCCGCGCUGCAUUAGCUAGUUGGUAAGGUAACGGCUUACCAAGGCAACGAUGCAUAGCCGACCUGAGAGGGUGAUCGGCCACACUGGAACUGAGACACGGUCCAGACUCCUACGGGAGGCAGCAGUAGGGAAUCUUCCGCAAUGGGCGAAAGCCUGACGGAGCAACGCCGCGUGAGUGAUGAAGGUCUUCGGAUCGUAAAACUCUGUUAUUAGGGAAGAACAAAUGUGUAAGUAACUAUGCACGUCUUGACGGUACCUAAUCAGAAAGCCACGGCUAACUACGUG